This 59-nucleotide transfer RNA is filed under the name Crangonyx forbesi. Its description in RNAcentral is "tRNA-Ile". Lineage: Eukaryota; Metazoa; Arthropoda; Malacostraca; Amphipoda; Crangonyctidae. The record is from RNAcentral.
AUAACCGUGCCUGAUAAAAGGCCUUCUUGAUACGUUGUACAUGCUAAUAGCCGGUUAUU